Molecule: long non-coding RNA, 198 nt
Organism: Stylophora pistillata
Lineage: Eukaryota; Metazoa; Cnidaria; Anthozoa; Scleractinia; Pocilloporidae
Source: RefSeq, a predicted model, not a curated record
AGGGAAACCGUUAUUUCAGUUUCUUACUGGCGGCUUUGUCAGUCACGUGAUCACGGAACACUAAACAUUCCUUGUUCAAGGAAAAAAGUCACACCAUCAGGAUCUGACAAAAGAAGAUUGCAGAGCGAUUGCGUAGUCCAAUCGGAAUGACAAUAGGAUAGAGAAAUCUGCGUGGAAGUACUUGGCGCUCAGCCUCAG